AGAGUUUGAUCCUGGCUCAGAAUCAACGCUGGCGGCGCGCCUAACACAUGCAAGUCGAACGAGAAAGCCCUUUCCGGGGUGAGUACACUGGCGAACGGGGGAGUAACAAAUGUGUUACCUGCCCUUGAGUGGGGAAUAUCUCCGGGAAAAUGGAGCUAAAACCCCAUACACCACUUCGGGGGGAAAGCUUUAUGGUCUCGAGGAUGGGCCCGCCCCCCCAUUAGAUGUUGGUGGGGUAAUGGCCUACCAAGGCAUCUAUCGAUCCCCCGCCUGAAAGGGCGCACGGUCGCCUUGGAACUGAAACACUCGCCCGACUCCUACGGCAGGCACCCGAGUCCAAUCUUAGGCAAUGGGGGAAACCCUGAUCCAAUGACGCCAAGUGAUUGACGAAGGCCUUCCGGUCGUAAAGAUCUUUCUCCGGUCACUAUAAUCUAUGUACCCGAAAAAACAUGACCGGCUAACUACGUGCCGGCAGCCGCGGUAAUACGUAGGCUCCAAGCUUUGUUUCAAUUACUGGGCGUAAAGCGAGUGUAGGCGGUUUGCCAAGUCGAUUGUGAAAUCUCCUCACUCAACUGGGAGGGUGCGGUCGAUACUGGCAGGCUAGAGUGCGGGAGAGGAAGGUAGAAUUCCUGGUGUAGCGGUGGAAUGCGUAGAUAUCAGGAGGAAUACCGGUGGUGAAGACGGCCUUCUGGUCCGCAACUGACGGCAGACUAGAAAGCGUAGGGAGCAAACAGGAUUAGAUACCCUUGUAGUCCACGCCCUAAACGAUGCAUACUUGGUGUGGUAUCUUCACUGGGUCCGUGCCGGAGAUAACGUGUUAAGUAUCCCGCGUGGAGAGUACGGUCGCAAGGAUGAAUCUCAAAAAAAUUCACGGGGCCCCGCACAAGCGGUAGCACAUGUGGUUUAAUUCGACGCAACGAAAGGCACCUUACCUGGGCUACAACCGCAGAACACCGCCCAAAACACAGGGCUUCCCUUUGGGAACCACAGUACAGGUGCUGCAUGGCUGUCGUCAGCUCGUG
RNAcentral lists this ribosomal RNA (1022 nucleotides) under uncultured bacterium. Its description in RNAcentral is "bacterial SSU rRNA". It matches the Rfam family "Bacterial small subunit ribosomal RNA", at positions 8 to 1064 of the family's 1533-position model. The record is from RNAcentral.